GACGAACGCUGGCGGCGUGCUUAACACAUGCAGGUCGAGCGAUGAAGUUUCUUCGGAAAUGGAUUAGCGGCGAACGGGUGAGUAACACGUGAGGAAUCUGCCCUUCACUUUGGAAUAACUCCGGGAAACCGGAGCUAAUACCGGAUAGGAACUCUGGCGGCAUCGCCGGAGUUGGAAAGUUUUUCGGUGAAGGAUGACCUCGCGGCCUAUCAGCUUGUUGGUGAGGUAAUGGCUCACCAAGGCGACGACGGGUAGCCGGCCUGAGAGGGCGACCGGCCACACUGGGACUGAGACACGGCCCAGACUCCUACGGGAGGCAGCAGUGGGGAAUAUUGGGCAAUGGGCGAAAGCCUGACCCAGCGACGCCGCGUGCGGGAUGAAGGCCUUCGGGUUGUAAACCGCUUUCAGCAGGGAAGAAGCGAAAGUGACGGUACCUGAAGAAGAAGCACCGGCUAACUAUGUGCCAGCCGCCGCAGUAA
Molecule: ribosomal RNA, 479 nt
Filed under: uncultured bacterium
Lineage: Bacteria
Description: partial 16S ribosomal RNA
Rfam family: Bacterial small subunit ribosomal RNA
Source: RNAcentral